RNAcentral lists this unclassified non-coding RNA (301 nucleotides) under fungal sp. Its description in RNAcentral is "partial contains 5.8S ribosomal RNA, internal transcribed spacer 2, and large subunit ribosomal RNA". The record is from RNAcentral. Lineage: Eukaryota; Fungi.
CGCACCUUGCACUCUUUGGUUAUUCCGAAGAGUAUGCUUGUUUGAGUGUCGCGAAAUUCUCAACCCCGCCAGAGGCUUUUUGACUCUGGUAGCCGGGCUUGGAUCAUGGCUAUUGUCGUUCCUCGGAUCUGACUUGGCUGAAAUACAACAAGCUGUAUCACCUUGAUAGUGCGGUUUGACCUGAUGUUGUAACUACCUCAUUGGGGACGCGCUGAGUUGAAGGAGCUCCAAUAACCCCCCUUUUUCACUUGCAAUAGUGCAUUAUGACCUCAAAUCAAGUAGGACUACCCGCUGAACUUAA